CCACAAGGUCGGGUGGUUUUUUGGUCCUCGGCCGGUACUUGUGGAUUCAAAAGCUCAAGAAAAGCAUCACCCUAUGCUGGUCAAAGAACAGCAGUAGAUGCUAUUCGUACAGUAGGUUUGCAACGAGCAGAAGUUAUGGUAAAGGGCGCUGGUAGUGGAAGAGAUGCCGCAUUACGAGCCAUUGCUAAAAGUGGUGUGCGAUUAAGUUGUAUACGCGAUGUAACACCUAUGCCGCAUAAUGGAUGUCGACCGCCUAAAAAAAGACGUCUGUAA
Molecule: ribosomal RNA, 273 nt
Filed under: Triticum aestivum (bread wheat)
Lineage: Eukaryota; Viridiplantae; Streptophyta; Magnoliopsida; Poales; Poaceae
Description: partial small subunit ribosomal RNA
Source: RNAcentral